This 64-nucleotide transfer RNA is filed under the name Ibidoecus bisignatus (glossy ibis head louse). Its description in RNAcentral is "tRNA-Tyr". Lineage: Eukaryota; Metazoa; Arthropoda; Insecta; Psocodea; Philopteridae. The record is from RNAcentral.
AAAAGGAUGGCCGAAAAAGGUAUUAUACUGUAAAUAUAAUUAUGAAUAAUAUAUUCUCCUUUUA